Molecule: ribosomal RNA, 253 nt
Filed under: uncultured bacterium
Lineage: Bacteria
Description: partial 16S ribosomal RNA
Rfam family: Bacterial small subunit ribosomal RNA
Source: RNAcentral
UACAGGGGGUGCAAACGUUGCUCGGAAUCAUUGGGCGUAAAGCGCGUGUAGGCGGCUCGAUAAGUCUGCUGUGAAAGUUCAGGGCUCAACCCUGAAAUGCCGGUGGAAACUGUCGAGCUAGAGUCCGGAAGAGGCGAGUGGAAUUCCUGGUGUAGCGGUGAAAUGCGCAGAUAUCAGGAGGAACACCAAUGGCGAAGGCAGCUCGCUGGGACGGUACUGACGCUGAGACGCGAAAGCGUGGGGAGCAAACAGG